This 508-nucleotide ribosomal RNA is filed under the name uncultured bacterium. RNAcentral's name for it is "bacterial SSU rRNA". It matches the Rfam family "Bacterial small subunit ribosomal RNA", at positions 15 to 518 of the family's 1533-position model. The record is from RNAcentral.
GAUUCUGGCUCAGGAUGAACGCUAGCUACAGGCUAACACAUGCAAGUCGAGGGCAGCAUUGGGGUAGCAAUACUUGGUGGCGACCGGCGCACGGGUGAGUAACGCGUAUGCAACCUACCUAUCAGAGGGGAAUAACCCGGCGAAAGUCGGACUAAUACCGCAUAAAACAGGGGCACCGCAUGGUGAUAUUUGUUAAAGAAAUUCGCUGAUAGAUGGGCAUGCGUUCCAUUAGGUAGUUGGUGAGGUAACGGCUCACCAAGCCGACGAUGGAUAGGGGAACUGAGAGGUUGGUCCCCCACACUGGUACUGAGACACGGACCAGACUCCUACGGGAGGCAGCAGUGAGGAAUAUUGGUCAAUGGGCGGGAGCCUGAACCAGCCAAGUCGCGUGAAGGAAGAAGGAUCUAUGGUUCGUAAACUUCUUUUGCAGGGGAAUAAAGUGCAGGACGUGUCCUGUUUUGUAUGUACCCUGAGAAUAAGGAUCGGCUAACUCCGUGCCAGCCGCUGC